This 253-nucleotide ribosomal RNA is filed under the name uncultured bacterium. RNAcentral describes it as "partial 16S ribosomal RNA". It matches the Rfam family "Bacterial small subunit ribosomal RNA", at positions 524 to 776 of the family's 1533-position model. The record is from RNAcentral.
UACAGAGGUCCCGAGCGUUGUUCGGAUUCACUGGGCGUAAAGGGUGCGCAGGUGGCUUGGCAAGUUUGAUGUGAAAGCUCAGGGCUUAACCCUGAAAUGGCAUUGAAUACUGUUGAGCUGGAGGUUUGGAGGGGGGACUGGAAUUCUUGGUGUAGCAGUGAAAUGCGUAGAAAUCAAGAGGAACACCAGUGGCGAAGGCGAGUCCCUGGACAACACCUGACACUGAGGCACGAAAGCUAGGGGAGCAAACAGG